Molecule: ribosomal RNA, 253 nt
Filed under: uncultured bacterium
Lineage: Bacteria
Description: partial 16S ribosomal RNA
Rfam family: Bacterial small subunit ribosomal RNA
Source: RNAcentral
UACGAAGGGGGCUAGCGUUGCUCGGAAUUACUGGGCGUAAAGCGCACGUAGGCGGCUUUCUAAGUCGGGGGUGAAAUCCUGGAGCUCAACUCCAGAACUGCCUUCGAUACUGGAGAGCUCGGGUCCGGGAGAGGUGAGUGGAACUGCGAGUGUAGAGGUGAAAUUCGUAGAUAUUCGCAAGAACACCAGUGGCGAAGGCGGCUCACUGGCCCGGUACUGACGCUGAGGUGCGAAAGCGUGGGGAGCAAACAGG